Oncorhynchus tshawytscha (Chinook salmon) is the source of this 1722-nucleotide long non-coding RNA. The record is from Ensembl. Lineage: Eukaryota; Metazoa; Chordata; Actinopteri; Salmoniformes; Salmonidae.
GGUGUAUUCAUUUUAUUUCCCAGACAGAAAAAUACCAUACUUUGAAUACUUCUAAAAUAAAGUUUUCUUGCUUUAUGGUUGGUAAUAACCUCUGUCACUUGCACACUAAAAUCCAGUUCAAAUCAACCCACACAUUAUUUGUAGACUAGUUUCGACAUAACCAAAACAACUAUUUAACAAAACUGUGUCAAUGCAGGUAUCGAUUUCACUGACAGUUAACGUAAUGAUUAUUGUUUGAGGGGAUGUGUUCUCAGAAAUUGCUGACAUUACCACUAGAUCAACAUCACUUAUUUAAUGUAUAUAUAAUGCAUUCCAACACAGAACUCAUCUUACAAAUGUGACAUUACAUUGUAUGAGUUUAGAUUUUAUUUGGCGUAACCUGUUUUGGUAAAGCUUUUCCACGACAUGUUCCAGUUUUCCGUUACAUAUUUAAUAAGCAAAACAGAAGCACAAUGCAUAUUUCAAGCAAAAAUAAAUAAAUUCAUUAAAUUCCUCAUUAAAUACCCUGUUGAACACAAUAACUCAGUACAGUGCAUGACUUGGACUGAAACAGAUUCCGGUACUGAUUUUGGAAGCCGGUACUUUUUAUAUUUAGGUGCAGGCGCUCUACAAUACUUUUGAGCUAAUAUUUUAUAAGAGGAACAGGUGCUCAAGCAGUAGAAUAUUUUAGGUACCGGUAAAAAUUCAAGCAUUUUUUUAUAUUUUUUUAAUUAAAUAUUUUAUUCACCCAUUGUUUUCCAAUGUACAAUAUUCCUCUCUUGCAGCUUUAUACAGUAGUGGCACUACAGCACAAAUCUCCGCCUCACUGGAGAGUAGUUCCACCCCCCCGGAAACUCUUCUACACUGAAGCUAUCACACAGGUUUACAUUUACAAGAAAAAUAUGCAAAGAGAUAGAAUCAUGCAGUUGCAUUCAGUCAAAAUCUCAAACAGUGAGAGUCUGCACAAGAUUGUUGAUCAGUCUGUACCCACUGUUGACCAGAUGGUCCCUCUCCUUUGGUUUGUGAAAAUGUACACCCCCCCCCAAUCAGAUAGUGUGGUCAGAGGGAUGAAUCAGUUUGCAUGCCUGUUUGCAUGUACAGUCCAUGUUUUGUCAGAGCAGCGAAAUGGUCAUUUACUGUGCCUGACACAGGUGUUGUCGCUCGGGCGAUGAUGGAUGAGAACAUGAGGUGGUACGACAGCUCCUUGCAGAAGGACUGACAGAUUUACACAUUCCUGGCUCACACACACCACCUCCAAGAGUAGAUGGAAACUAGCAGCUGCUGGGAUGACAGUUCAAUGAGGCCAACCUCGAUAAAAGGUUUGUUUGGUGAAAUUGCAUUCAGAAGAUUUGAUGUUUUCCCCACAGGACUUCAGUGCACAUCUUCAGAAGGUCAGUUUUUUUCACAGCUCUGCUGAAGCACCCAUUCGGCAGUGUACACUCUCAGAAAAUCAAUACCCGUUUCUUGUCAUUUGCUAUCCUGUACAUCUUAUACUGUAAAAAUGUAUACAUUCAGGGGUGGCAGGUAGUGGUUAGAGUCUUGGACUAGUAGCUGAAAGGUUGCAAGAUCGAAUCCCCGAGCUGACAAGGUAAAAGUCUGUCGUUCUGCCCCUGAACAGGUCAGUUAACCCACUGUUCCUAGGCUGUCAUUGUAAAUAAGAAUUUGCUCUUAACUAACUUGUCUAGUAAAAUAUAGGUACAAAAAAAUGAAAAAAUAAGAAUUUGUUAAAGUUAAAUAAAGGUA